GAUCAUGGCUCAGAGUGAACGCUGGCGGCAGGCCUAAUACAUGCAAGUCGAACGGCAGCACAGCAGAGCUUGCUCUGUGGGUGGCGAGUGGCGGACGGGUGAGGAAUACAUGGGAAUCUGCCCAGUCGUGGGGAUAACGUAGGGAAACUUACGCUAAUACCGCAUGCGCCCUUCGGGGGAAAGCCGGGGACCUUCGGGCCUGGCGCGAUUGGAUGAGCCCAUGUCGGAUUAGCUAGUUGGCGGGGUAAUGGCCCACCAAGGCGACGAUCCGUAGCUGGUCUGAGAGGAUGAUCAGCCACACUGGAACUGAGACACGGUCCAGACUCCUACGGGAGGCAGCAGUAGGGAAUAUUGGACAAUGGGCGCAAGCCUGAUCCAGCCAUGCCGCGUGAGUGAAGAAGGCCCUCGGGUUGUAAAGCUCUUUUGUCCGGAAAGAAAAGCGCCGGGUUAAUACCCUGGUGUCCUGACGGUACCGGAAGAAUAAGCACCGGCUAACUUCGUG
Molecule: ribosomal RNA, 502 nt
Filed under: uncultured bacterium
Lineage: Bacteria
Description: bacterial SSU rRNA
Rfam family: Bacterial small subunit ribosomal RNA
Source: RNAcentral